This 252-nucleotide ribosomal RNA is filed under the name uncultured bacterium. RNAcentral's name for it is "partial 16S ribosomal RNA". It matches the Rfam family "Bacterial small subunit ribosomal RNA", at positions 524 to 776 of the family's 1533-position model. The record is from RNAcentral.
UACGUAGGGUGAAGCGUUGUCCGGAAUUAUUGGGCGUAAAGAGCUUGUAGGCGGUUUGUCGCGUCUGCUGUGAAAUUUCGGGGCUCAACCCCGAACUUGCAGUGGGUACGGGCAGACUAGAGUGUGGUAGGGGAGACUGGAAUUCCUGGUGUAGCGGUGAAAUGCGCAGAUAUCAGGAGGAGCACCGAUGGCGAAGGCAGGUCUCUGGGCCAUAACUGACGCUGAGAAGCGAAAGCAUGGGGAGCGAACAGG